UAUAUAACUCAGGUGGUAGAGAAUGAGGCUUGUACUCUCAGGGUUGUGGGUUCCAGCCCCACACUGGGCAAAA
Molecule: non-coding RNA, 73 nt
Organism: Podarcis lilfordi (Lilford's wall lizard)
Lineage: Eukaryota; Metazoa; Chordata; Lepidosauria; Squamata; Lacertidae
Source: the annotation of a GenBank genome assembly